GACGAACGCUGGCGGCGCGCCUAACACAUGCAAGUCGAACGGAGUCAAGAGGAGCUUGCUUUUCUUGACUUAGUGGCGCACGGGUGAGUAACGCGUGAGUAACCUGCCCUGGAGUGGGGGACAACAGUUGGAAACGACUGCUAAUACCGCAUAAGCCCACGGAUCUGCAUGGAUCUGCGGGAAAAGGAUUUAUUCGCUCUAGGAUGGACUCGCGUCCAAUUAGCUAGUUGGUGAGGUAACGGCCCACCAAGGCGACGAUUGGUAGCCGGACUGAGAGGUUGAACGGCCACAUUGGGACUGAGACACGGCCCAGACUCGUACGGGAGGCAGCAGUGGGGGAUAUUGCACAAUGGGGGAAAACCUGAUGCAGCGACGCCGCGUGGAGGAAGAAGGUGUUCGGAUUGUAAACUCCUGUCGUUAGGGACGAUAAUGACGGUACCUAACAAGAAAGCACCGGCUAACUACGUG
Molecule: ribosomal RNA, 468 nt
Filed under: uncultured bacterium
Lineage: Bacteria
Description: partial 16S ribosomal RNA
Rfam family: Bacterial small subunit ribosomal RNA
Source: RNAcentral